UUUACCUUACGACUUUUAGCCACACAGAGAUAAACUUUAGGGCGUAGAAGGAAGUAGGACAGUAAUAGUGUUUUAUUGUUUUAUUUGGAUAUCAGUUGGUGUUCAUAUAUACAAUUUGGCAACGUAAUAAAGCAAGAAAAUAUAAUUGUCUAUAAUUUCAUUUUUUAUGUAAAAGAUAUUGAAAGUAUAUAUUAAACUUAGAAACAGUGGUUUUCAAAUCGAAAGUAGAAACAGGUUCAAACACAAUUUCACAAUGGCUUCUAAAAGAUUUGUGGAUUCAAAUCGAGACAAUGCAGGCGACUUUAUUGGAGAAAGUGCUGUGACACAAUCAUGCGAGCCCUGUAUGAAAUCAAACAUAUCAAAAACUGCUACGGUUUUCUGCAAGGAUUGUGAUGAGUUCUUGUGUGAUGCGUGCACAAAUCCGCAUAGGGUAUAUAAGCCUGGUCAGCAUAAUAUUGUCAAUGUACAGGACCAUAAAUCUGCGCCCGUAAUACUCGACAUGAAAGGAAUGGACAAGUGCCAUGAGCAUGGACGAGAAAUAGAGUUUUUCUGCCAGGAUCAUUCUAAGCUUUGUUGCCUUUCAUGCGUUCUUAUUCACCGGAAAUGUGACAAAUUGGAUGAAAUAGCCAAAGUAUCCAGACAAACACGACCCGACCUGCAAGCAUUAAAACAAUCAUUGAUAAAAAUGCAAUCCGAGGCUGACGCUUUUAUAGCGGAUUGUAAGCAGUCGGAAACUGGCUUAAAUGAGUCCAUUGCAAAGAUUUCUGCAGAGGUGGAUACAAUGAAAGAUCGUAUCAUACAACUAUUUGAAGAAGCAAAGCAGAAAUUAAUAAGUGAGGCAAUACAGUUUAAAACUGCAAAAGUCAAACGAAUCGGGAAUAAAUGUGACGCCUCGCUCAAAGUUAAGGAAGAACUAAACAAUGUAUUGUCGAUGUGUUGUGUCGUUUUAGAACGUGGAACGCCCAGUCAACAGUAUAUUUAUUCAGAACAAAUGAAGGAGAAACGGAAAACUAUCGAAUCAACUAUAGAUGAACAAAGAAAGAUUACAUUCUCAUCAACAAUGACAGUGUCUUUUCCAAAACAGGUUACUUCACUUCUUGAGAUGGGAAGCAAUUCUAUAAAACUGAAUUAUGAUGUCAACAAGACAGUGGACACCAGUAGCAUCAGCUUGUCGUCCCCACCAAGGCCUGUCACCCUGGAGUUGCUUGUAUCCGUGGAUCUACACAAGACUGGAGAUGAUGAGAGGGAGCCUCUCCUCAGUGGACUGGACUUCCUGCCGGACGGGAGACUGGUAGCCGUGGAUAACAAGAACAAGAAAUGUAUCAUACUGAAUGAGCGACUACAGAGACUUGGAACACCGUACAAGUUCAAGAGUACCCCACGUGGCGUAGUAUGUGUGUCUCAUGAUACACUGUGUGUAACGGGUGGUGGUAAAGUAGUAUGUCUCCUGUAUGUGAGUACAGACAAUACCAUCACACUGACCAGGAAGAUCAAUACAACAUCACUGUUCUUCUCUAUAUGCUGCAUGUCUCCAUCUAACAUGGUCAUGAGUACGUACGAUGAUCCCCGUCCUGUGAGAAUGAUAUCAGUGGACGGGGUAGAGUCAGACUUUGAUCACUUCCUGACGUUUCCUAUGAAGACUUACAAAUUAGAUGAGAGUGCGUGCACGUAUGUCCAGUCUAAGAACACGUUAGUACUGACUGACAGGUACGCUCACACUGUGUACAUGAACGACACCGUGAAUGGCACAUCUAGAGCAGUCACUAAUGAGAACAUACAGAAGCCUCGUGGUGCCUGUGUAGGGCCUGGUGACACGGUGCUGGUGUGUAGUAAGGGUAAGAACUUCAUCGUGCACCUGAGUGUUGAUGGAAACAUUAUCGGUACCUACCCAGUGGAUAUGCGGAAUCCGUACAGCAUAUUUUUGUCUAAGAACGGCACUAGGCUGGCGUUGUCUAACAUUGCUCAUGGCACCACGAAACUUCAGUUGUUUAAGAUAUCACCGGCAAUGCGUUAGGUGACUAGUAAGACGUGAUCCAUGUGAUCAUGCAAUGAUCUACCAUCAUAUAUAUUAUAAAUGUUCGGGUAUGGUGAUGUUUAAAUAAAUACGGUAUACACUUAAAAUAACGUCAUUGUUUUACAAAAUACACGGUGCUGGUGUGCAGUAUUAGGAAGCACUCCAUCGUGCACCUGAGUGUUGAUGGGAACAUGCUCGGUACCUACCCAGUGAAUAUGAAGUUUCCUUACAGCAUAUGUGUGUCUAAGGAUGGUACUAGGCUGGCAGUGUCCAACAGAGAACUAGGCUACAAAAAUACACGGUGCUGGUGUGCAGUAAGAAUAACAACUCCAUCGUGCAUCUGAGUGUUGAUGGAACCAUUCGCGGUACCUACCCAGUGAAUAUGAAGCUUCCUUACAGCAUAUGUGUGUCUAAGGAUGGUACUAGGCUGGCAGUGUCCAACAAAUGUACAGGCAUCAAGAAACUUCACUUGUAUAAGAUAUCACCGGCCAUGAGUUAGAUGACUAGUAAGAUGUUAUCCAUGUGAUCAGGCUUUAUACACAAUUAUUUAAUAUUGAUUUUCGUGAAUUGAUGUGGUUAAAUCAACUCGUUAUACUAUUAUGUUUAAAGAAAAUUGAAUAGUGUUGUUAUAAGGUUUAAUCGUUGAAGAAUUUCGAAAUAUUUCGAACCAGCUAUGUAUUGUGCAUUUGUUAUUAUGUAAACACGUGUUUGUAUACAUAACUUCAAGAAAUGUUGCAUUGUAUAUUUGAAUUAUUUUAAAUGUAUUGUGUAUGUAAUGCUAUUUAUAUUUGCCUUUCAUGCAACUUAACGGUGUGUACGGUAGUUAGGCGCGUUAAGUAUUUCUAAAUGAAUGUUGUUGUUUUUUUACAUUAUUAUGCAUAUAUUUUCUUAAAGGGUCCGUCCAACAGAUUUUGGCAUGUAUUGAAGCAUGUCAAUAAAUGCUUUAUAUUGAGAAAUUUAAACAUUUAACCUAAAAAUCUCCAGUAAAAGAAACACAAGAAUACAAUGUAAAAAAAGGAAAAAAAUAACCCUCAACAGGGCUCGAACCACGGACCCCUUGAGUCCUGGAGUAAAAAGUCUUCCGCAUUGACCACUCUAGUACUCUACCAUCCAUGCUCAUGCUUAGAGCGGAUGUAUUUUUUACCUUAGUAUAUAAGCAAUCCUCAUAGUUUCCCACAAUAUAACUACAACAACAGAACUUUCUAAAUUAUUCAAUCGUUUCGCGUCGCACGACGCUUUAUGAUUUUCAGGUUUUCAAAUCGUCAAAAGAUGCAUAUUAUAGAUAUUUAAGAGCAUGGUAAAUGGUCAGUAUUACUAUUUCCUCAAAAAUAUCAUAACAAAAACGAAAAUUUGCGAAUCUGAAACAACUUUUUAAAUUUUUGUCAACUUACCAAUCUGUUGGACGGCCCCUUUAAAGCCACACAUCUUGAAAUGAAAUACAUGGCAUAGUAAAUUUAAGAAUAAAUAAGAAACAUUUUUUAUCUAUGCCAAUUAGAAUAUAUCUGGUGGUUACAAGUUAUAAAUCCGCCUCUUUUGCGCUUUAAAAUAAUCGCGUUUGUCGAAAUGGACAUAUACGUCUAGAAAUCCUACUUUCAGUUUUAAAAUCGGCACCGUUUGAAAAAUAACAAAUUACUUGCUAACGAAGAUAUAGAUUUAAUUUUAUCUAUCUCAAUUAAAAUAUGUCUGAUGGUUACAACAUAGAAAUCCGUCUUUUUGCGCUUAAAAACUUACAAAUAAUCGCGUUUGUCGAAAUGUACGUAUACGUAUAGAAAUCCUACUUUCAGUUAUAAAAUAUAAACAAAACAAAUUUAUUACUUGCUAGCUAGGCUAUAGAUUUAAUGACAAUUUUGCACACUUUCAAGUUGCAUCUAUAUGUAUUGAUUAACAUGUACUUCAUUUCAAGGUGUGUGGCUUUAAUACCAUGCAAGGAAUUGUGCGUUCUCUCAAAAUAAUGCUUGUUUUUGUUUAACGUACAUUGGCUACUAUAUGUGAGAGGGAAUGGGAAAAUGACUAUUCUGGCUCAAGAAUCAUAAAAUGAGAUUUUUAUUUUUUGAAACAAAAGGACUAUUCAAUAACCUAAAUCUAAAAUUUGAGCGUACAAAUCCAAAAAAUAAAAAAGUUAUGACGAUUUUCCUACAUAAGGUGCAACUGAAGAAAUGGGAAACCUGAGAAACAUCAAGCUGUUACUUUUAAAUAAUUUAUUUACAAGUUAAUGUAAACAUUCAAUGUUAACAACUUCAAACCAACAAACAAGUAAUGGAAUAAAUCUACUGCAACCCAGAACAUAUUAUUCCUUUAAGAUGAUUCCAUAACAAUCUCAAAUUAACUCUUAAAACGGUUGCCAUGGCAACCGUGGUAAAAAUAUACCUUAAAUGGUUGAAAUGAUAAAACUAAACAUUUUGUAGUAUUUAAACAAAUAUGUUAGGAGAGAAAUACAUUGAACCUGCUUUAAAAGCCUUUAUUUUGAUACAUAGAGUAACAAUACUGAACCGGGUUGCAUUAUUUGGACAUUUUAAAGUAUGUUAUAAUGUGUUAAAUAUUAAGUUUUUUUCACCAUAACAUACAAAUUAAGAUGAGUCUUUUUAAAGAUUCCAUGGAGUGUAAGCCUAUAACUGUAUAAUAUAUAUAUAAAUAUACUUUUUAUUUGUUGUUGUAAACUGGACCUAUUAAUAAAUAACCUUAAUAAUUUUCCUGUUGCUAUGGAAACACAACUUGAAUUGUUAUUCUUUCCGCCUUAUAUAAUCGAAUAAAGGUGGCAUUAUCUCUUUUCAACAAAUAAAUGGCAAACAUUAUAAACACAUGUAUGAUCACACAUUCAAAUAGGUUGGUAUGCACAUCUUUAAAACGAAAAUUUAAAACAAUAUUUACAUUAUAUAUUAUAUUAUAAUGAUAAACAAAAGUCGACUAGGACUAGAAUUUCCAGCAUGUCACCUGUGCCUGUAAAUAGUCUUAGAAGCCUUGUAUCGUUAUAAUGUAAUGGAUACUAUAAAAAGCCGUUAAUGUCA
Molecule: RNA transcript, 5019 nt
Organism: Dreissena polymorpha
Lineage: Eukaryota; Metazoa; Mollusca; Bivalvia; Myida; Dreissenidae
Exons: 4
Source: RefSeq, a predicted model, not a curated record